AUUGAACGCUGGCGGAAUGCUUUACACAUGCAAGUCGAACGGCAGCACGGACUUCGGUCUGGUGGCGAGUGGCGAACGGGUGAGUAAUGUAUCGGAACGUGCCCAGUCGUGGGGGAUAACGUAGUGAAAAUUACGCUAAUACCGCAUACGAUCUAUGGAUGAAAGCGGAGGUUCGCGAGACCUCGCGCGAUUGGAGCGGCCGAUAUCAGAUUAGGUAGUUGGUGGGGUAAAGGCCCACCAAGCCAACGAUCUGUAGCUGGUCUGGGAGGACGACCAGCCACACUGGAACUGAGACACGGUCCAGACUCCUACGGGAGGCAGCAGUGGGGAAUUUUGGACAAUGGGCGAAAGCCUGAUCCAGCCAUUCCGCGUGCAGGAUGAAGGCCCUCGGGUUGUAAACUGCUUUUGUACAGAACGAAAAGGUUUCUACUAAUACUAGGAGCUCAUGACGGUACUGUAAGAAUAAGCACCGGCUAACUACGUGCCAGCCGCCGCCGUAA
This 500-nucleotide ribosomal RNA is filed under the name uncultured bacterium. RNAcentral's name for it is "partial 16S ribosomal RNA". It matches the Rfam family "Bacterial small subunit ribosomal RNA", at positions 30 to 523 of the family's 1533-position model. The record is from RNAcentral.